Molecule: long non-coding RNA, 27614 nt
Filed under: Gallus gallus (chicken)
Lineage: Eukaryota; Metazoa; Chordata; Aves; Galliformes; Phasianidae
Source: RNAcentral
CUCUAGGUUAUGACUUUUGCUUGCCUUCAGCAAUGUCAAAACUUCAGCCAGCAUUUACUUAGAAUUUUUAUGAAAUAUUAAUAAAAUUGUUUGGUACUGUUGUGUUUCUGAAACUAGACUUGGUUACAUGCCUGUAAUAUUCUCUUUCAAAACGUUUGUGUAUUGGAGAAAGAGAAUCUAUCAUGUAGUUAAACAUACGUGUUUUCUAACCACUUUGGACAGUUUAUUAUUUCUUUCUAUUGUCUUAACCAAAUCCUGGUUGCUUUUGUAGUCUGUAUAGUACCUCAGAAAACAGUUGUUUGCUUUAGUAACAUGAGCAGUAUUUAUUUCUUGUUUGGGUUCUGAGAUCUUGAACAUGGAAGUGUUCAGAGAGACAAUAUCUCAUAAUGCUUUGAUUCUGCACCCUUCUCAUUAAUCAUUUUGAAUAAAAGGAAGAAAAUUAAUUUAUCUUUAAUUCCUUACCUAUAAGAAAAAGAAAAAGUAUCCAUAUACUAUUUUAAUUGGUUAGAUUAUUUUUUUCUUUCAAUUAAAUUUGAAAUGACAUCUUCAGGCAGUUUAACUUCCUAAUUUUGAUUUUACAGUAAAAAUGUUUAACAAAGUCUCAUAAAAAUCUUUGUGGGAGGGGAGAAUAUGUUUCAUUCAUCCUUAUGUAUUCUGAUUGGUGUUGUGUUGAAAACUAAUAGUAGGAAUGUUAAUACUCAGGGACAAACUCCUCUCGGAAACACACUGUGUAAACAUGUAUUAGUAUGUAAGCAUGCAAAUCAGACUAACUCAGCGAUCUUCAGUGGAAUCAAACCAGCCUUAACUCUGGUGAAGACUAAAGCAGAAAUUUACUGUAUUAUGUGAGGAGCUGAUCCUUCUGGCAGUGAAACAAAAAACAAGCUAUAUUGUUGUUUUUACUUGAAAGAAAAUACAGUCUUACUUUUUAAUCAUUAGUAUGUGUGAUAGAGCUGUUGUUAAUUUCAUAUAACAGUGGGACAGAAUGUAGAGUAGGUGCAGUCCUGUGCCCAUUUGAUGUCUGAGGAACUCUUGAUUUAAGAGCUGUGUGCAUUCUGUUGUUGUACUAUGGAUACAAAACUAUUAAAAUAAGCUAUUUUAAUACAUAGACUUGGAAUACAGAGUAGAUAAAAUAAAUGUGCUAUCUUAAUAAUGCAAGUUACCUACUAAUACAAGUUAUUCCCUAAGGUGGAAUGCUCCCUGCUCCUCUCACUCAUUAAAUAGUAUCUACUUGGAAGUACCUGUACUUUACUUUUCAUUUUAUUCGUGGUCAUUGGUAAUAGUUGAUAUAAUUCUUUAAUUUUCCGAAAACAGGACAUUUUGAGCAGACUCUUGUUUCUAAAAACCAAUAAUUAGUCCCAGGCUGCUGCGCUACUAUAUUGAUUUUUCUUUGUCUUGCUUACAACAGUCUUAAAACAAUUGCAGAAUUGGUGUAGUCAUUUUACACUAACUUGUUUCUUAAAACCACAAAUAACAACCAGGACCAAACAAGCAGAAACCUAACUGGUGCUAAUGCUAAAUUUUAUGUAUGUAUAUGUGUAUAUGAGUGUAUAUAUAUACAUCUAUGUGUGCAUGCACAAAGAUUUAAAGUGUUGCUACGAGUCCCUUUGGGCUUUGUUCAGUCAGCAACCAAAAUGUGAUCUUUAUGCUGUGUAAUAGCCAUUUUGCAUAUGUGCAAUAACAAGUUGUUCUCAGUCUGUUUCCCUUACCCCUAAGCAUUUCAUUUCUUGAUUUAAUUCAAUGUCAUUUCAUAAAAUCAUUAAAUCAUAAAGGUUGGAAAUGACCACUGAGAUCAUCUAGUCCAAUUGUUGGCUCAUCAGCACCAUGCCCACAUUUCCUAGAGAUGUGUGCCCUGUGACCAACUGGGCUGUCCUUUCCUUUCAUGCUCACACUUCACCUUCCUCAGUCUUCUACAGCAAAAUGGUUGUCUAGAAGUGUUAAAUAACUGUUUCCAAAGAGACAGAGAAAUAGAAUUUGUCAAAAUGUUAAAAAUAAAAUAAAAUGAAAUAAAAUCAAUAACAAUGAAAAAACAAACUGUAGGCGUCUUUCCUGGAUGGUUUCUGAGUCACAUCAGAUGGUAUGUGGUCCAGAACAUAAUGAUAUUGAGAACAUCGGGUGAUACAUGAUCCGGAGAGGAAUAGGAAAUGGUUUAAGCUUCUGGAAGGGAGAUUCUGAAGCUGGACAGUCAUAGCUUUUCAUGGCUGUAAGCUGUGCAGUGUAGAGGAGGUGGGAUUCAGUCAACUGAAUCCUGACAGUCAUUGUGGGUUAAAUCUUGCAGACAUCUGAGAGAUCUACAACCCACCAAAGAAAGGUUUUGGCGUUACCAUUCACCUGACCUGCCUUGGACAAGUUACUUAGAUAGAAAUGGUGAGGCUUUUAAGUUAACUAUGGAUACUUUUGUGUGUAAACGGUUGUUUUGUAGGCAGUAUACUCCAUGCUUAAUGUUUGUUGAACAUUGUUUUUGGUAGAGACUUUCUUCAUGAGAUAUUUUGGUGCUUAUAUGUGAAUAUGAGCCACUAAGCAGUAAGUACAUCUAAAAGAACAGAGGGUAGAGUGUUUUGACAGAUUUUGAGCUCUUCACUGCAGGAAACUGCAGGAAACAAUGUACCUUACAGCAGAUUUCCUUGCUCCCCGGCAGGAUUUUGGAGACUCUGUGAGCCCUUCUCAGCGGGACAUUCUUCUUGUCUGCACACCAUAAAUAAGAUGCCAGAUCACCAGUCUGGUGUAUGUACAGCCUGUGUUUGUCUAUACCCAAAAAUAACGCAUGAGGAGAAGAGUGGGAGAAGAAUCCUUUUUUUAUUAUUAUUUUUUAUUUUUUUCUGAAAAGGAAAAUGGCAUGAAUUUUAAUUUGUUUCUCUGUUGAACAACAACAAAAAAACCUAAGCUAUUUUAAAGAAUGGUCAGCUGGGUAAUAUCUGUAUUUAUAUUUUAGUGAAAAGAAUGGAAAGCACAUAGUUUGUGUCAUAUUUUUAGCAUGCAGCUUUUCAACUUGCUUCACUGUUGGCUUUGUAUAUGCCUUGGGAGGCAAGGAACUCAUGUGCAGCUCAGGGCAUAAUUUAUCUGCUAAGAUGCAUCCUAACUGUCUUGCUGCUUUUUGUGUGGUAGAAACUAAAUGCAGGGUUCUGAAUGCUUCCCUGUUUGCUUCAAUGGGUAUUGGAUCAAUGAGCUCUCUUCAGGACUGGUCUUAAUCUCCUGGCUUGUAGCCAGAGGUGUGUCUGCAAUUUGAUGACGUUGACAACAGUACUGCAGACGUCAUUCAAAGGGUGAUGCCUUUGGAUGGAGUUAACACUGAAAUAACUGGAGUGCCUAUAUUUUCUCUCUUCAGUGCUGCUGUGUGGUUGCACUGCUUUAUCCUAGUGAAGAUCUUUACUUUUGGGAUCAGUUCAAUGUAUCAGUACGUUUUCAAAUGCAAUCAGGAGAUGGUGUCUAAAUGUCCAGAAAAAAACCUUUUGCUUUUAAUUCCCAUGGUUUUCUAAGAUGUAAAGAAAAACUGUGUCAUGAAUAUCCUAGAGUUAAGAUUUUUAUUUUUAUUUUUUAAUUGAGAGCAGAAGAUCUUUUCCUUAACUAAGUGGUUUUAUCUUUUAAGUAUAUUUUGGACUGCAGCUGUUGGAGCGAUGCCAUGAACAUGAUUUUGUGAUUUUGUUAAAAAUAGUAAUGUACACAGUCAGCAACUAGCAGAAAUAAUGACCAACAGGAACAGCAGUGUGACACAUUCUCUGUGUGGCUUUGUCGAGUAAUUUAUACCCUUCACCACUUCAGCAUGCAACAAAAGGAUUACAUAUUUUAAAACGUGUUGGUAAGGAUUUCCUUACAUUUGAAAUAUGCUUUCAAAAUGAAAGCAACAUGCAAAUGAUGACUAUUACCAACAUACAAUCCAUUUCAAAAAGGGACUACCACUGCACUGUAUACAGUACUCUAUUGUUCAGGUUAAGAAAUAUCACUGAAAAUGAAUAAGCUGGAUUUUCCUUUCUGUAUACUUUUCUCCUUCAACAGUUGAAUAGAGCUGUUUUCUUUAUACAGAGCAAUACAGCUCUCAGCUAUAUGCAAGAAAAUAUAGAAGCUGAAAAAAAGAUAAGCAAAUAUAUUCCCUCCAAAGAGAGUAUCUGCUUUAUAUAAAUAAAAUCUUUUUAAUUUUUUUUUUUUCAAUAAUAUGUGAUUGAAACCUGUGGUAGUUCCAGCUUAUGCUGGCCAGCUGUGGGGCUGGGGUAUAAAACUGGAGUCAGUUCCUACUUCCUUUAUUCACACAGAUAUUUCCUUUGACAUUAGACAUGCAUGAAGUCAGUUUGCCUAGAGUUGCUCAUGGCCACGUGGGGUUGAAUGAACCAAUGUGUUUCCAUGUCUACUUACGCAGGUAUUUAUUAGAACAUGUACCCAGGGGUAGCAAAAGCAUGGAGAUGAAUUUUGCUGAUCUUUGGAAUCCCCUGCAACAGACUUCUGUAGCACGGCCCACCAUGUCCAAAGCCCGGGCCAAGGAACAGUAAAGAGAAUGUCCAGCCCCAUGAUCAGAGCUCAGUAAAUCCAUUGUAUUGGCAUAGCAGGGAAUUAAAGUAAGCAGGACUAGCAGACCUAAAGUGAGAUACAAGGCUAGAAAAGCCUCUUUGUUCAUAUGAGGUGUUCUCUGCAGUACAGCUAGAGUAGAUCCUUUGUCAUAUUUCUGUAUAUGUAUCUUUUUUCCCUCUAUGUAAAUAGCAUGCAGUAAAACUUGCAUUAACAAUGCUUAAUGACUCUCUAAUGUACCAACCAUGAUACACAUCCAUUUGCAAAAUUAUAAUUUCCACACAUUGUUGGUAAAUAUUACUGACAGUAGAUUGGGACAACCAUAUUUUAAUCCCAAAGCCUGUUGUGGUGGCCAGACCAAUACUCUUGCCUGUAUGGGAAGUGUUGAAUCAUGGCCUGAACCUCUGAUUGACCACCUGAGGCGAGCGCUGAGUCAGCCACAGGGGCACAGGUGAAUGCAAUUUCACCUGAGUGACUGGAAGGGGUGGAACCUGGCUCCACCCCUCCUAGACCCCAUUUAAGGGCUGACUCCCGAGGAGGGAAGAUAUCUAUCUGGAGAUCACUCCCUUUGGAGCUCUUCUGUGAGCCCAGGAUAUGGGUAAGAUCUUUAUUUCAUUACUCCUUUGUAAAUGUGAUUAUCUCUCUGGUCCUAUACCUGUAUACCUAUUUACCUUACAAUCUGUAUACCUGUUUGCCAUGCACUUGCCCAAUAAUUGCUUAUACUUCUGUUGUUCAGAAAAUGAAUGAAUGAUUCUCACAACACUCCGUUUCUCAUCACCAAAGAAAGGUUUUCUCCUUUUUUUUUUUUUUUUUUUAAAAAAAAUCUCAUCCCUCUGCACAGGAGAAAUUCCUUUAGUCCAUUUCCAACCCAUAAAGAAAAAUGAAAAAUCCUCUACAGGAAAACACCAAUUUGUGUAGUGCACUGAAGAUGGCACUGUAGUAACAACUUCACCCUGUGAAUGAUAAGGUAUGCUUGUGUUUGUUGCUGAGAAUUUAUGAUUUUUUUUAUUUAUUUAGCUCAGCUAAUGUAAAGCCAAAGGUCAGAUUAAUGGAGCACCAUCUGACGCUGCUGUAAUUAGGGCUGGAGAAGUGUUUCCUUUACUUGAAUUUAUUCAUAGGGAGAUUUGGACCCAGCCCAUGCUGUGUGGAAUAGUUUAUAAUUGUCUGUAGAAAACUUUUUAAUUACAAAGAAACUGGAAAUGUAAUGAAGAAAAUCCUUGCUGUUAGGGUGUCACUUUUACACAUCUGUAACCCUUGGGGGCUGUGUUAAGUCAGCAGAUCCCUAAAGACAUGGUGGACCCCAGGGCAGGGCCUCACGCUUAUUGGUUUUGUUAUGCAAACCUUCCAAAAAAUCAGUUUCUUGUAGAGUUUGGAGGGUUUUAUUCACGUGAAACAGCGUCUUCAAGUUAAAUAAAUAAAGAAGCACGUACGUACAAAGACUGGUAGUGAUAGGUCAGAGUCACAAUUUAGUUAGUGAUGAUUUGUAGUAAAAAUAAAGAAAACCAAACAGAUUUAAGCUGACAGAUCUAUAGGUCUGCAGUAAUCUCUUUAUCCAUUUCUUUAUCCACCCCUAUUAAAUCUUUCAAUCAGGCCAGGCGGGAGUUUUGGUUUGUUUUGAAGUGUGUGAGUAAUUGGGCCCCUGUGCACCAAUUAUUUCCUCACUGCUAUGUCCAUCAUUCAUACCUAAAUGAUUUUGGAGGGGAUUAAACAUGGAAACUUUGCUUUUUUCUCAGGACUUCAAGCUACUGGGACUGCUCAUGGGAACUACCACCACGGGGCUUUAUUUAUUUAUUUGUUCAUAUGCAUUUGUUUAUUUAGUGUUGGACUUUAUUUACUUGUUUGUUUGCUUAUUUAGUGUUGAAAAAAAGCAGGAUUUAAAACUCCAAAAAUGUCAAUGAUAGACAGCAGCUGCUCCAAAUGACCUAAUAAUCUCUAUCAGCAAGUUGAAAGUGGGGCAGAGUUCAAAGCCCUCAGAAUAUGGUUCUUAGGUGCUGGGCUGCAGGAAAAGACAUGAUGUUCUGAUGGGUGUUUGGCUUCUUUUCUGUAUCAGGAAUGAUGCAAAGCCAGCCAGAUGUUGCAUGUCUUUAGGAAAACCUGUGCACAAAUCUGAGGUGUCACAUCUGGUUAAAAGUCCUGGCUCCUGAACAUCCCUUUCUGUGGCUGUAUGCUUGUUCCUUUUCCCUGCAGGGAUUGGCUUUAUGGUUGUUUUUUUUUCUUCUUUUUAGAUGCCCCAGCCUUAGCCCAGGUGUGGUGGGAGGGAGAGAAAGCAGUGCUUUGCUUUGCUUGGCACAGGCUCUUCUGAUCGAUUAACAACUGUUUGCUUCCGCAGACAUCCUUAGCUCGUGUUCCUCGGUGGGAAGGAUGACAGUCACACGGGGCAUGGGGAGAAGUGUUAUGUGAGGCAUUUCUAGUGGAGACAGAAAGAAAUAGACACAAAAACGUGUGGCUGUGAAAGCGAUUCUGGCUGCGUUGCAUGCUGGCACUAAAGUGGAAACCAGCGUGGGCACCAUCUUCAGGCCCUGGAUGAAAGCUGAGCUGCUAAACACCAGCUCUGCAGCAUCACCCAAGGUGAGGGCCUAGGAGCUCAGCAGCAAGCCCUUUGGGGUUAGGGCUUUCAGUCUUUCUUCUCCCACACAAUAGGCAUUUCGGAAGCCCUUUGUGUGCAGUUCUUCAAAGAUCUGGGAGUUAAAUAACUAAAUAUGUUUAGGGCCUUGAUCUUGGAAUAAAUCUGGUGGUAACUCUUUAAUUAUCCCAGCAGGGUGCUCCUUUCUGCACACAGAACUCCUCAGCUGCUUUCACUCUGAACCUUGCUUAUGUUUGCCUUCUCUGCCUGCCCAAUUCUUCUGACAAGAACAACUGCAGUUCCCUCUACGGAGAAGGAUGGAACGCUGGUUUUUGCUCAGGUUUGAAUGAUAACCAGCAGCUAAUCAUCUCUGUUUGUGCCUACAUCCUUCUACCACAACCUCCAGCUACAUUAAAACAGAAUGUGGGGUGAUAGAGAGAGUCACAAGUGAUGCAAGUAGCUCAUGGUAAGCUAAGGGCAUAUUUGAGAGAUACUGAGGGAUGAACUGAAGCAAUUUGUUCUGGAGGUCCAGAGAUGGAUUUUUUUGUUAGAGGUGACUUUGGGAUCAUAGGAUUGCUUAGGUGCUUGUAAAGCACUUAGCAAGCAAAUCAAUGAGUUAUGUGAAACAGGCUGAGCUGCUACAAAAAAUGUGUACUCUAACUUAUAUACUCAGGUAAACUUUUGGAGAUCUCUGUGAUGCAUUGGUCAUUAAUAGUUAAUGUAUCACGUAUUAAAUAUUUCAUUCUGUAUAGUUCUUUAAUGGAAAAGUGAUGGAUUGUGUUGUCUACAAGAAUCCAUUUAUAAAGAUCUGGUCGAUUUCUCCUUUUGAAAAAUAUUUAUAUCCAAUUUGCAGGAGGUAAAAUGUAUUAUGAAGAGAUUGGUUGUGCAGAUGUGUUGCCUUCUAAACUAAAGAAAGACAGGUCAGUAUCAGCAAGCAGUAUUUGUACAGCAAAAGGGCAGUCGUGAAACUAGUGAAACUACCACCUCCAUCUUCAUCAUCUCCAUGAUCACUCUGAGUUUGAGCCACUGCUUCUACCUCUCAUGGCUGAUGAAGCAGUGAUUACAUGAGGACUUGCAUUAGCAUAGGCUGUAGUGCAAGGAAGAUUCAGAAACUACACAGUGUCCUUGUUCGUGCUGAGCAGUGCAGCCACAUCUCCGCACCUUUGGGACUUAAAGCCUCUGCUACUAUAGUGCUUGUGUCCUUAAGACUGGAGCCACUGAAGCAGACCAAGACAGAAGACAGGAGAGAAGAAACACUAUUAGAAAGUAGUGUUGUGCAAUCAUUCUCCUUUUUUUUUUUUUGUGUAGUGAUGUCACUUGAAAACUGUGUCACAGUCUCUCCUGUUUUUGUCAUCUCAUGUGGCCACCACCUCCCUUUGUCCCAUGCACAAAUCCUGGUAUGUAUUAAAAGCGCUCUCUCUUAGUUUGUUUCUCAAGCCUCCCACUAUGUGACAGACCAUGAACACUUUCCUUUUCCUCUUCCAGUAGUUUAUGCUCUAAAUCCAGCAGAGAGCUUUCUUAGGUCUUUAAUAGCAAGCUUAAGGUUAAGCAUUUGUUUAAGCACGCUGCUAAACUGUGUUCUGCUGAAUCUCAGCCAAAAGAAAACAGAUGGGCUAAUUUACCCUGAUGUUCUUCUGUGAGCCUUCAGGAGAGCUGUAAGAGCAGCAGCAUUGAAAGGUGUGCUCCAGAGCAAGUGAGAAGCAUAGCUAAGCAAUUCCAGGCCAGGAGGUGGCUUUGAUUUCCCUAGCAGGCUACAGAUUUGGGGAUCAUACUUGCCCUUGUUACUGCUCCCGUUCCAAGGAAGAAUGCCACCCUCUGUGCAAGGAAGUGCCAUCCAACCUGUGAGGCUCCCUUUUAUCUACAAGGUCAAGGAACAGCAGUCUUUGCUGUUUGUCACCAAGAAACAGCUGUGGCUGGACUGCACUCAGUGAGUAGGACUUUUCUUUCUGAUGCAUCAUCCCAUCUCUGCUGUAGCAUGUUUGAAAUAGAAUUGUGCUCCUCUUCCAACAGCACUUCUGAUGAUUUGGAAGGAGCGCAAACUGUUGAUGUAUCCUUAAAAGCUGUUCCCUUUUACUAGUGAGUAGCUUGUAUAAUUUGCCAUGCUUUGGGAUUGAAAGAUUUCUGAGAUUGAUGUUAGCCCAUUAGAACUUGGUUUAAAAUAUUGACCAGUGUCCAUCACUGAAGAAACAACGUGAUAAGUUUAAGCCUUUGAAAUACAUCACAUACUUGAAGUAUUAAAUAGUUGGCUAUGUAACAUAUUAGUGGGGGAAAAAAUAUUCUUGUUAGCUUAGGAGCAGAGAUUUGUGGAGCUAUGUUUUUAAAGGAAAUAAAUAACGUUGCUCACAAACAAAGUGCUGCUAAUGCUCGUGUUCAUUUUCAAAUGUGCUGACUGAAGUGUGAGGUCUCAAAAGGGUAUAAUACAGUCCUAGGGAAAGACAGGAAGUGAACACUGAAUUAAAAGCUUUAAUAUAAUUCAAGAAUAGUCUGAAUCAGUGCUGCAUUGGCAGUAUUUAUUGUUCCAGUGGUUUAUGUUUGGUGUGGUGUGUUUUUUUUUUUUGUGAGCAUGGUUUGGUUUCUGUAAUUGAUGACAUUCCUGCUCUCCAUGGGGAGCUGGCUUGUUACCAGAAAGUGUCUGUUUAUAGUUUUAAUGCCAAAUAAAAAAGUAUGGGGAAGAAAGGAAAGGUAGAACUUGAUCUUUAAAAUGUCUUUCUCAUGAAUUAUUUAUGCUAUUUAUACUGCAAGAUCAAAUGCUGUUUUUUUUUUUUAAAAAAAGUAUGACAGAGGUGGGAUAUGAGCAACAAAUCUUUGCUAAGAAAGAGAAAACAAAAGCACCUCCAAACCUCAAACAAAAAGUUUUCCUAAGAAAUAUCAAAGACCUAUGCUGGGGGGGCUGUAAAAUGCAGACCCAAAUCUAUCAGUUUAUUUUUACAGCAAGGUGUUGUCAAACUCUUCUCUGAUCUAAGACUAAACAGCAGUCUGCAGAGUGGGGUGGCAGAACACAAGUCGCCUUUGUUUUUAGAAUACUACAGGCUGGAAAGGGCCACUGCAUGCUGUAGCUUCAGUAAAAGCAGAGAAUUUCAGCUCCCUUCCCCUCCCUUUCCUUCUCCAACCCUUCUCUAAUCCUUCUCUAACCCUUCCCGUUGUGAAUGUUCAAGUCCCUUAAUUUAAUACAGUGAGCAAUGGAGGGUGUAUGUGAACUUCCAAUCUCACCUACCCUAAUUUUCUUCUGACCACCUAGAGAACAGCAGUGGACAUCUUUCUAAAUGUCAGUAGAUAUGUGCUGGGGAAGGGAUGCAAAAGAAAACACACACAAAACAAAACUUUUUAAUCAAUUUUCUGAGUUUAGGCAAUGCUGCAUUUGGCUUCCUAGGAAUAUGUCAUCUGAAAUACGUAGUGAAAGGUGCAGAUGAUGCCCAGAAGAUAGGUUUUGCUCUGAGUUCGUACAGAUAUCUGAGUGGAAGAUUUGUAUUGUAUUUGUAAUCUGUGUUACUUUCCAGGUUGCCUGGGGCAGGUGUGCCUACUCCUUGCUGUCCAUUUGCAUCUGUGACUUGCAGGAAGCUCACCCUCCAUGAAACCCACAGCUCCCUGCCAGUGAGCUGGAAGUGUUCUCAGUCUUGUCUUACCUCUGAGCGUGAAAGAGACAAAAUGCAGUGCUGGACCUGCUGCUCUACGACUCUGUGGAAUGGAUUGGUGGCAUCAGGAUUGGAGGCUGCUUGGGCUCUACUGACCACGCAAUGCUGGAGUUCAUGCUCUUGAGGGACACUGAUUGGCAAAGAUCAAAAAUCAGGAAGCUUAAUUUUAAGAAAAACAAAUUGCAGCUCUUCAGGGAGUCUGUCCUCAAGGACAAGGGAGUGGAGCAGAUCUGACAGGCCUUUAAGGAAGCUUUCUUCAGGGCACAAGAGUUCUCCAUCUCCUGGUGGAGGAAGUCAGGAAAAGAAGGCAAGAGACAGGCGUGUCUGAACUGGGACCUGCUGGUCAAACUGGAGAGCAAGAAUAAAAUGCACAGGCAGUGGAAGCAGGGACAGGUAACCUGGGAGGAGUAUAGGGAUGCUGCUAGGCUGUGUAGGGAUGGGGUCAGGAAGGCCAAGGCCCAGAUGGAACUGGAUUGGCAAGGGGCACAAAGAAAGGUAACAAAGGUUUCUGUGUGUACAUCAAUGGGAAAAGGAAAGUCCAGUCCCCCUCCCCCCCCCCCCCAUCCUGAAAUGAGCAACACAGGUAACAACAGAGAAGGCUGAGGUAUUCCACAACUUUUUUGCCACAGUCUUCACUCGUGAAGCCCUACACACAGCCACUGGGUGGAUGGUUUGAAAGGUGGGAACUGGGGGAACAUCACCCCUCCUGUUAUAAGCAAAGGUCAGGUUUGCAACUGCUUGAGAAAAUUGAACAUCCCUAUGUCUAUGGGUACUGAUGAGGCACAUCUUGGAUUCCUGAGGGGACUGUCUGACAUAGUUGCCAAGCCAUUCUUGAUUGUAUUUCAGAAGUCAUGGUGGUCAGGUGAAGUCCCUGGUGACUGGCAAAGAGGCAACAUCACACCCAUUUUUAAGAAGGGUAGAAAAGAUGACCCUGGGAGGGUCACAGAAAUGAUCCAAGGGAUGGAACACCUCCAUUGUGAGGACAGGCUGAGAUAGCUGGGACUGUGCAGCCUGGAGAAAGGAAGGCUCUGGGGAGAGCCAGAGAGGUGGUAGAUGCCUCAUCCUUGGAGACACUCAAGGUCAGGCUGGACUGAGCUCUGAGCACUUGAUGGAGCUGUAGGUGUCUCUGCUCAUUGCAGGGGAGUUUGACAAGAUGACCUUUAAAGGUCCAUUCUAUGAUUUGAUAAAAAUGAAUAGUUUUAGGAUCAGCAGUUGCUAUCUGUGUCUUUAUGUCCUAAUACAACACUUAUAUAUUUUUAUUUAUAUAUAAUAAUCUGCCUCAGUUUCUACUUCGCAGAUUAAUGUCUUCUUCAUUCACUCACUUAUUCGUUUGUAUGUUUUAAUCAUUCAGUAAGCUAGAUUUAGAGAAGAUGCCUAGCUUAGACUACAAAUAACAAGUAAAGACACACAGACAAAAGAACACAACUCUUUCAGGACAAGGUCACCCAAAGCAACAUACCCUUCCUGCUGAUGCUUUCUGAGAGAUUCACAAGAGUCAUCAUGACCCCUUGUUUUUUCAGUAGAGCUGAACAGGCCAUAGCAGGGGACCACAGAGAGGAUAAAAAAAUAGCUCAGAGAAAAAAAAAAUGUUAAAUAUUAGAAUGUGCUACUUUGCAGUAAAAUUUAAACUAUUUUCUAAAUGUUUACUGCUAAACUACUAGAAGAAAUCUCAUUUUUCUUGCUGAAAACAAAGUAAUCUGUUUCAGGUUGAUAUGUGUGCCAAAGCCCUAUAUGUGUGUUGAUAUGUGUAGAAAUUUCCAUAGAGGGCACAUGAAAUUGAAGAUUUCCUGGAUUUUUCCAGAGUUUGAAGAAAAAUAAAACAAACAAAAGUCAGUACUGAUAAACUCCAGCAAAUGUCUUAUGUUGCUGAUUUCAGUAAGAACAAAUGAUCAUCCUACCUUGCAUAAUCCUCCAGGUAAGGUCAAGAGAAACAUAUACUAGAAGCCCUAACAUUAAUAACAUUACUUAUAUUUAUGGCAUAUUCCUCAUGUUCACAAUUUUGUCAUAUCCUUUCUUCUGUAUUUAAGUCAACGUGGACAAGUAUAUGAAUUAGCAGCUACAGAAGUCAACUGCUUGAAGACAUUGAUCAAAGCUGGAAUGUCAGUAGCAGGAGGUCAGUGCCUGCAGCAGCUGUGGGACAUGGUUCUUGCUCCUGCUCAAGUGCUGUGCACACUAUUUUAUGAUCUGAUGAUGGUCUGAAAAGAUGAAAGAUGAGGGAUUGCAGGACAGCUGCUCUUGAAUGAAAACAUGACAUUAUUGUUAAAAAAUAAUUCAACUUAAAGUAGCAGGAGAUAAAAAUUCCCCCUUUUCUCCACACCACAGCCACAACUGUGCUCAGAGCUCUUGCUGAAGGAUUUCCCUGAGCUUUACUGGCCUCUCAGUGGGCCCCUCUGUUUUUAGAGGUUAAACUUAAACGCCAUAUAAUCAGCAGCUCUUGUUGACUUGGAAUUACAGCAGGGUCUCAGGCAAUUUGGGAACUCCCAGCCAGUUGGAAGUGGCAGUGCAGAUGCUCGCUCAUGCAUUCAAACCCAUGCACAGAGGUGAAGGUUUUUGUUUUUGUUUUUGUUUUUCCUUUUAACAAAACCACUCUUACCAUACAAACGUGACAAGUUGCAAAGAUUUGUGAAGAAAGCAUUUACUUCACGGUUGGUUUUUGUUGUCCUGUGCCAUAUAAACACUGCAGCAUUAUGCAGCAUGUGCCUACUGCUUGCUUAGGAGCAAAGCAGUCUCCCCAAAUUAAACAGAUUUAUGCACUCAGGGGGAAAACUGACCAUAAAGAAAAGCCAUCAUUUGAUCCGUGCUAUUACAGUGGUUUGUUCAGUGGCUGAGUGAGGAACCGCACAGCUGAUGUCACUUUCCCACACUGGGUUUAUUUCUCAGUUAGCUCUGCUGCCAUGACUAGAUGUCAGCUCAGCUCCCAAACAGCAUCAUUUUUGUAUUUGUGUCUCACUGAUGAUUUCAGUUUUUACAGUUACACCCACCAACUUGAAGCACCCUGAUGUAAGGCAGUAUUUAAGGGCUCUGCACUGUACACAGCAGUGGGGAAUCAGCAAUAAAAACGUUCCUCUGCAGUGCUCACUUGUAGCAGGCAGGCAAUGCAGGGCUCAGUAAGAAGCAUCAUUUCAGUGUGCCUUUUUCCCCCCCCGGUUUAAACAAAUGUUACAGUGGGACUGCAAUGUGCCAAUUUACAGUACUUUACUAUGAAUAUUAUGAUAAUUGCUGUUUAUCUUAUAUCCUCUAUAUCCUGGAUCUGACUUAUUUUUUAAGAAGCUUAAAUGUUAUUAAUUUAAAGCAGCACAAUGAGCACCCAUCUGGCUUUCACGCCAACCUCAGAGCGGAAAGAGGCUUAACAGUCUCAUAACCUGGAAGGCUGAGUUGUGUGUGAAGAUAUUCCCGUUUCACAUCUUGAGAUUUCUCUACAGCAAAUCUUUUUUCAAGCCUAAUUCUCCAAUGCUGGAGGUUAACAACCUAGAAUAGUUUGAGAAUCGUGUAAGCCCCGCGGCCAGUUCUUGUUUGCACAGCUCCUGCAUUGAGCUGAAGGAGGGACGUUCCCCCGUCCGAAUGUGGCCGGAAGCAUCUGUGAUAAGUGUGAAGAAGGAAACCUGUGUGGUCAGAUGUACGGGGGAGGGAUGGGGUGAAGCCGAAGUUUGGCUCAGAGCUUCCGCAUGGGCCCCGUUGCUGUGGAAACGACGGCCUUUGUCUGCAGUGCUACCGCAUCUCUAUACGUUCGGAAGAGCCAUCUCUUCUCUGUGUCAUUAGGAGGGGUCUGAAACGAAGCUGAUCAAUUCAGCUUCUGUGCUAUAGACAGUAACUUAAAUUGUGUGCUUAAAAACAAGUAAUGAAUCACCCUUUUAUGCAGUGACAUAUAGUUCCAUCCCAACACCAUGCUGUGCUGCUUGGGGAGAAGAAAGGGAAGGAAUAAUAAAAAUGGAACUGUGCUUUUACAUUCGGUUGCUCACAACCUUUCCCAUGUCCUCCUUAUCCUCCCGAGCGUGCCAAUCAGUGUAUAUUCUCCUUCUAUUCAUCCAUUACUUUGUGAAUAAGAUACUUUUAUGUGAUUAUUUCUUAAAUUAAAAAGACUCAAGCUCCAAGAAGUAGAUGCUUCCACUUAGAGCACAUUUUCUCUGCUAUUUGCAGUUUGUUUGUGUGAGUGGCUGUCUGAUUGUUGCCCAGGCAACCUGAGCAGGCGUGAAUUUGAUUAGAUAUAGUUUCACAGAUGUGGGCAGUGUUUCAAGCAUUGUUUGGUGUUUCUGUGUCUGUCCAAGACAAGUUUGUUAACUUUUAAGAGUUGUUUCUGUUUGAAGGACAGGGAAGAAAAGUCGAAGAUCUUGGUCAUUUUUAGCUGGAGUUAUCUCAGCUUGCUAGUUACUGCUUGUGGUAAGGGCCCACUUGUUCUUUUACAGAAGUCAUAUGGAUUUUUAGAAUAGAACAAGGAAAAAUGUGGAAAAAUUCCAGUACUGACAGCAGGGAGAUACGUAAAAGCACAAGCUGUUUUAUGGUCUCCACUAGAGCAGAUUAAAUUGUUAUCAUCACUCUAGCAGCUAAAAUCGUUAAAAUGUGGAGACUAGUUGGUCAUAUCGUGAUAAUAAGAGUAGCGGGAACAUAUUUUGAUAUUUAGCUAUGCACAGUCUGUUUUGUGAAGAGACAGCAUGGUACUUUAAAUGACGGCAGUGCUGCUCAGUGUGUUUAUUUUUUCCAGUGGAUGUGGCAGAUGUAAACAUCUGCUGGAUGCGUAGCUGGAGGACAGCAGUUUGACAUUCUGCAUGAGGGCUCAUGAUGAGCAAAGCUUACCUUCUUUUCCCUUAAAAAAAAAAAAAAAGCAGAAGUGGGAAGCAGAGUUCAGAGAUGAUAAAGAAAAAAUGAUCCCCCCCCCUGCACCUGAGCACCUUGGGCUUCAGGAUUCCACUCCGUCUAACAAAGACAUAAGCCUUCAAGGGAAUGUUUGGCUCAGCUUCCAGAUACAAAAUUCAAGGGAGCUGAGAUUUUCUGUUCUGUUUAAACUCUAGAAUAAACCGGAUUAACUAUUUAGCUGUGAGUACUGGCUCAGGUUUGCAAUGACCUGCAAACAGGCCUGGAAACAAGCCUUCCCUACAGUGCACCGAGUAACCUUCAGAGCUUUAUACGCUCUCUGCAAACGUGCAUCAAAAUUACUUUUUGUAAGCAAAUUAGCUCUUCUUUUAUGACCCCAUUCUCGAAAAUGAAUGAUUUGGCUGCCAGUACACUAUAAUUCAUACCUGGUCUGUGCUUUUAUAAAAUUGGAACCUUCUUCUGGAAACAUUUUUAUUUGUCUUUUUAAGGAAACAACUUCUGUGAUGACGCUGUCCAUCUAUAUGUGAGUCAGUUACUUGCUUGCAUUUGAUUUUCUUGGCAAACCAUAGCCAGAUUUGCAAAUAUCAACUAAUCUGAUAGCACAGAAAGAUCUGGAAGAAGUUCCUACACGUUCUGUUAAAAUUGGAAGCUGAGAGAAUGGGGAAGAGCCUUUAGUUAUAGAAAAACAGGGAGAACUCUGUUGCUCUCCAUUGCAUUUAGAGCAGCUGUGUAUAUAACCAAUCAGCCUUCAGGCAAAUUCUGCUAACAUAACACAAAGCAGAGGCAUCAUCACAAAAUAAUGACCAAGAGGAAGGCCGCAGGGACCAAAAGGAGCUGCUCUCAGAGCCUCCAGUAAUAGUGGGGUGGACUUGGGAACAAGCACUGCAAAACCCGCUGUGAUAGUCUUUGGAAAACAGGAGUUGUGUGGAGCACAAGCCAGAAUUUGUCUUUUCUGAUGCUCAAGAUAAUUUGUUUUACCACAUCUUCAGCUGUGAUUUGAUUCUUGUAAUGCUAUAAUGUGGUAGAAAGUAUAGCAAUAAUAGUGGGGUGGCAAAGUCCCAGGCUACAGCAAAUGAGGACAAGCCCAAGCACAGCAGUCACAGACACAGAAACAAGAAAAAAAAAAUCAUUUACCUUUGGAAGGCCUCAGGUAUGCAGGGAUUUCCAGCAAGAUACCCUUGAUUAUACUGCCAACCCUUAAAUGAGGUCUGGGAAGGGUUGGAUCCUGGCUCCACCCCUUCUGGUCACUCAGGUACAUUGCAUGCACCUGAGCUCGCCUGGGUUGGCCCUGCCUUCCCACUAGGUGCUCAAUCACUGCUUCAAGCUGUGACUUAGCAUUUCUGCUACACUCCUGGUUCUCUGUAAGGCAACUGAAAAAGCUGUACAGAUCCAAACCUCAUUAAUGGAUGACUCCUGCUGUCUUGAAUGGCUGUUGAACAGGGAUUUAUUAUUUUUUUUUUUUAAGGCACUUAGGAACCAAAGGAAAGAAACAGUAAUUAAGAAUAAUUGAAUAUCCAUAACCAGAAGGCUAGAUUUGUACUGUAGCUCAACCUCGGUUGCUGGUCAUUUAAAGGUAUAGCUAGUGAGCAAGCAAUUCUUAAAGACAGAGAUGAGAUUUUCAUCGAAAGGCUUAGGAGGUAUGCUGAAAUACAUCAUUAAAAAAAAAAAAAAAGCCAGAUCUUAUUUUGCAGGCUGCUGAAAGUAGCAAAGUAACUUAUGACUACUUUUUCUAAUAAAAUUUACUGUUUCUGAACCCUGACAAUACAGGCUUUGAUUUUCUGCAGAUCUGUUUCUUGUGCAUGUUAACUGAGAGAGCAUGAGAAUUAAUACUAUCCUUUCAGCUGAUAGCCACUAAGCGUUAAUCCUCUGUACUCUGUAGUCAGGUGGUAUUGUUUCAACAUCUACAAUAGAUAAGUCUCAACAUUUUUAUAUGACAGGUCCUAGGAGUGCACACUUGUGGGGCACGCUCCAUGCAUUACUGAAGAAUUUGCUUGUUCCCAUUCACAGAUUUGUGUUUGCUUUUUGUUGGCUUGCAUUUGUGUAAAGAACAGCCAUCUUCCAGCACAAGCAUGCUCAAAAGCCUGUUUAUGUGAUUGCUGAGAAGUGGAACAAAUACUGGAAUCUCCAUCCUGCUCUACCCCACAGAGCUGAGCAGCCCUGCUAAGUUCAUGUUGUUGUUCUCUGUUGGCCUGGCUGCAGGUACUAAUUGUGGCUGUUUGACCGAUUUUGACCCUAUUAAAAUAGAACCUGUUAUUUGAAAUAAAGGCGAAGGAGAGGCAUUGACAUAAUUCAAUAGAAUUUCAUCUUCUAUUAAAUGAAAUGGGAGUGGAUUUUGCUUUCUUAUUUGAGCUCUGACUGCUAAGUCCUUGGCAUACAAAGGCAAUUAUUCUGGUUCAAAUAUCCUUAUACUCCCAAAAUCAAAUACCUCCCCUCCUCCCCCCCAAUUUGUUUGUGAGGAAAGAAAUAAAUUGAUAUUUUGUUUCUUACUUUUUCUCAUCCUCUAGACUGACAGUUGAAGCACCAUAGGAGGCUUUAAAAGCCUGUGUAUCUAGAUGCAUUUCAUACAGGAUAGCUAUUAACUUGGCUUCACAGAAAUGGACUCAGAUAAAGAGUGAUAAGUCACAUGUUAGUAAUGGUUUAUGUCCUUUAAGAAAGGAACAAAGAAGCCCUGUCAGGGCUAUAGAUCUGGUACGUGCUAAUCGUACUGAGCAACAGAUCAUUGUUGCAAAUGUAAGGAUGCACGGACAAAAGCUCGUCAGUCCUUAUAAAUUGUCAAGCCAUAUAUAGUAUCUUGUACUCUUCUUUUAUGUUUAAGUCCCUUCAAGAAAGAAAUUACAGAAAUUACUUUUUAGAAGUAGUAAUAGAUAUCUGGCUUAUUAAGUACCUUUCUAGAAGAAUCUGUUUGACUUACAGGCAUAUGCAGAUGUGGAAACACUAAAAAGACUGAAGAAUAAAGCAAUUGGAGGUUGGAGGCUGUGCUUCAGACUUGCUCUACUCUGCAGGCUACAGUAUGAUUUCACAGGAAAAAGGUUCACUAUGCUCUUGCAUUUAAGUAGCAGCACAGAAUACCCAGUAUUUAGUCCUUAGAAUGAAUUGCUGCACCCUCUGCUACAGCCCUGUCCAAGGGUACUGAGCAAAGGCAAUGCCACAUCUAAAUUCUACUCUCUUUACACAGCUUCAGCACUAUGUCACACAUGCUGUUACUGUUUGGGAAACUCUUCAUCACAAAAAUGUUUCACUAUAACCCAAAAGUGGACUAAUGCUGUCACUGGUAAAACCACUUUUACUGGUCUAAAGAAACAGAUACAUGGUGUUAAAGCUAAAGAUUCAAUGUAAGAGUAACAGAAUAUGGGUUGUAUCCUUGAAUAUUUUUUGUACUUCUGACAACUCAAAAACCAAGCAAUAAGAUAUUUUAGCAGAACAGGAGAAACCUCUGAAGAAUUCAAGAUGUUUCAAAAAAUAUGCUGUAAUCCUAAAAAGUAAAUAAAUAAUCAAAAUACACAAAAUCAACUGCUGCCUUUGAUCUACAGUUGAAUAGUUUUUUCAUAAUCCUGGAUUCAGUUGCACCUGUUCUACCUCAGAACACAGAAGGCAACUAGAAGAUGUGGAUAUCAGUUCUCACUUAAAUGGACAGGUCUGCAUGCCAACUCUGGUAGGUCUCGUCCCUAGUGCCAUUGCUGCAGCGGGUCUCAGUCUGCAGCCACCACUGGGCAGCUCCAUCCCUGGGCACUCUCUCUGCACUGUGCAGGCUGUGAGCUGCCGCUGUGGGGAUGGAGCUGUGCAAACAGCAGGAGGAGUCAUUUUCUCUCUUAGCCACUGAUUAAAGCAUAGGGAUGAGGUGGGACUGGCACCACUGAUACCAGGUUUUUGUGCUGAGCAGGGAUUUCUGUGACACUGAAUUACCUGCGUGCUCUAAGACUCCCUAGUUCCAGAUUUGCAUACACGCAAAACAAACUAAUUUGUUACAGUAAAAAUAAACGCAAGCUCUGCAGUCCUCUUAUCUCGCCUAGUAGAUGACAUGGCAUUUGGGUGCUGCAGUAUCUAGGCUGAUAACAGUGCUUUACCACCCAGAAGAGCAAUAAGGGCUGCCUGAGGCUAUGGAAAGGACAAUUUCUGACUCACUAGGAAAAAAAAAUUUAAGCUGCUAUUAUUGGAGCAGAGGAAGUCUCUCUGAACGUAACAACAUACAAGCAAUCAGCUGCAUUGUGCUCGGGUUGUUUUUUUUUUUUUUUAAUAAAAACCUACAGCUAACAAAUAUUUAAAGUUGAAAACCUCAUGUUAAUGUAUUAAACUCAAUGCUACCAACAUUACACUUGAGAUUCUUGGCUAGACUGGAAAUAGUAAGCAUUUCCAAAAGAACUAUACAGCGCAUUGCUCUGGGGUUGUUGACAUCAGUAGUCCAUUCCACUUGUGAAGUCAGACUUUAGAAUCUGUCUGCUGUUUCACUGAAGCUAUAACAUACCAUCUUCCCUGUAUUCAUUGAACUUAUAAUUUGAUUGGAAAAACCCACAAAAAUCAUAACAACAAAAAGACAAAAAACCCAACAAAUUAAUUUGAUAGAAGUCCAGGCUGUUCAUUGUAAUAGAAGAAUUACUUCUCUACAGUGCCCACUGGAAGGAAUUUUUCAUGGCUUUGAAUUAAGAAAUCACAAGUACUUCAGUUUGGGAGAGCAGAACUAUUCAAGGGACUGACUUUCUCUGGUUCUGCUCCAAAACCAGAUCUGUAUCAGGCUUUCCAUUUUCAGUUUAUUCAAAAUGGCAGGUAUUUUGAUGUAUAGCUUAAAUUGCUGUGUUUUAUUUGUCCAGCCAUUUCCUCUUAUUAUAAAUUCUCCGCUUAUUUAGGGGAUAUUUAUGUGCUUUGCUGAAAGAAGCAGCAACUACGAGAAUUGGCCAUAAAGGUGUAUCAGAAAAAAAUUGUAACUUAGAUAUAAAUGUAUCUGAUAGUAUAAGAAGAACAAGAUCACAUUGUAUAAGUAGAAAGUCAAAGGACUCCUCUAAGUAACGUUCAUGCUAUGUACAGCAAUGAAGGAAACAUAUAUAGCUAUAUAUGUUUCUUAGCUUGCUGAUGUCAGUGGACUCGCAUUCUGUUUCAGAAGCCAUGAAUGUUGCCUAAUUUCUUUUUUCCUUUACCUCUUGCUCUUGUGAAACUCUUCAAAACUAAUUAAAAAAAUAAAUUCUAGAUAUGCAGAUCAGCAUAAAUAACAUGGAAGAGUUAUCCAGGAAGGAUAAUGAAAAUGUGUUUUAUUUAUGAUGCAUGGAGAGAGAAGAUGAAAGACAGGGUAAAAGUUCAUCUGGUCACCAUUUGGUGUGAUGUAGUCCAUCCUUUGAUCAAUGGAUGCUAAAUAGUUCUGCAGAAUGGAAGUCCUGUAGGCAAUGGUUUUACACAAUAGAAGGGAAAGCAGGUUAGCACCCUCAGGCUGCAACCUGUCUCUAUUUUAGUAGCACUUUCUCCAAAUGCUGUUGUCUAUUCCUGUUUGGUUUUUUGUUUGUCUGUAUUUUUAUAGAGAAGAGCACAAUGCAUAUUCAUUGCUUUACUCUUCCAUCACUUGAAUAGAGAAAUCAAGCAAGCUUCAUGUUAUGGCUGCAGGCUACCACUUGUAAACUGCUGCUUAUCACAGCAUAUUGUAACCUCAAGGUACCUGGUGGAGUUCCAGUGGAACUUUGUGUUAAGCCUUGAAACGUGCAUAUUGCUGGGAAACUUCUUGAGGACUACUGUAGAAACGUAGAUGUAAAAACGUGUUUUUUCUUUUUUUACAUUUAGCAUUACAUAAGAAAGCACAUGAGCAGCAACCAAGAUUAGAGCUCAGUUUUGCUUCACUCUAAAUCUAGGCAGUAAAGGUCAUUUAUUUCCCAAAGAGCUUCUAGUCAAAACGGGGCAUCAUUGCAGGAGAAAGGAAGGGUUAUUACCAGGAUUUGCUAAGGCUCUGCAAUCCAGGCCACUAGGGAAGCCCCACUAGAAGCAGAAGCUCAACAGUGAUCUCAGGAAUUAAAAAAUGAUAUACAUAAAAAACAGUUUCUUUGGAAUCAUCUUUUGUAUUAGACACAUACUGCUCUCCUUACCCUAUCUUAAUUUAGGCUUAAUUCAAAGCAUACUGUUUCAUAACAGGCAUUUAAUAUGAAAAUAGAGGUCCCCAGAACAGCAAAGACGUGAAUCCUCAUGAUACACAGUUGCCAGCACUAAGUAUCAUCUAACAGAAGACACAGAAAUGCUAUGCACCCAACUAGAUAAAGCUCUGACCUUCCUGUUCACAGUAUAAUAAGCAGUUUGUACAGUGAUGAAAAAAAUAUUAUAGACUUGGUCAAAUGCAAUAGUCAUAAGCACAGAAACAAGAAGAAAAAGCCACUUACCCUCACAAGGCCUCAGGUACAGCAAGAUCUCUAACAAGACACACUUGUACCCACUGUUAACCCUUAAAUGAGGUCUGGGAAGGGGUGGAUCCUGGCUCCACCCCUUCCAAUUACUCAGGUACAUUGCAUGCACCUGAGCUCCCCUGGGUUGGCCCUGCCUUCCCACAAUGUUCUCAGUUCCUGGUUCAGGUGGUAACUUAGCAUUUCUGCUACAGUAGCAAGCCUGGAAUGAAGGUUUUAUUUUCUUUUAAAAAGAGCAAGUGCUUGAGCAGUUAACACAUAACAGAAUCGAGGGGUCUAAGAAAAAGAACGUCCUGGCUUCUUUCAUGAAGUGACUAAUUUUGUUCUCUAGUUGCCAAUUGCAACUUCCAUUUUGUUCCUAGAGUACAAUUUAUGAAUUUUGAUAUUCAAAUGGGACAAUAUUUCUGUUGAUUUUGUGAUGCAACUGACACAAUACGUGGUCAGUUCCUAACUUGGCAAAAGCUUCCAGUUUCUUUAUGCAGUUAAAGACAGAAGAUGCCUACUGUUCUGCUGACCUAAAAACUGUUUCUCCUAGGAGGGUACAGGGAAAAGAUACAGGAGCAAGUGUCCUGUAACUUACCCCAUCCAGCCAUACUUUGUCAAGGCAGCAGCUUUGCUGGCUGAUCUCUGUUGUUUCUGAAUCACAGCUAGGUCUAAUCCAGUGACCUGGUGCCUACAUUUAUGUGAAGGUAAAACUUCUGAGUACAGUAAAAUAUCAAAAGCAGUUGAUAGCCCAGAUUUCUUUCUAAUUUUAUUUCUAAAAGGCCUGAAAAAUCACUUAGGGAAAAUGCUUUUGAAUGAAGCCGGAUACUGUGACCAGAAACGGUGGAUGAAGCAUACCCAUCUUGUGAGAAAGUGCCUGCUGCAUUGUCCAAGAAUGCAAAUGAAUUUUGGAGGAAGGGGUUGCAUUAGAGCAAUAGCUUAGGUCAGUAACCCGUUUCUGAAACCGCUGAGCCCAGCCUCCUUCUCUCCAGACAUGGGUAAUUCACAUUGCUAAAGAAAUUAUAAAAAUACGUGGGAGUAAAAAGGAUGUGUGUACAGUACUCAGUUGUUAAGAUGAAUAUCUGUCGGAAGGGCUGACCAUCAGCCAAGAUUUCAAGCAAAUCAAAUAUGGGGAAAUGAAACUCUGCAGGGCUCUCAUGGAAGUAGGAAUCAGAUCGACUUUGAUCCAUUUUCCAUUGCCUCGGGGCAUCUGCAAAUGCAGUUGGACUAGAUUAGAUCUGCCCAGGAAAAGGAGUGCUUUUGUUUGGGACUUGCUAGGGCUGCUUGCUAGAAGGUGAAUUAUACCUAAGGCUGAGCAUCUUGAAGGAGUCAUCACCUCCUCUGUGACUUGUUGUGGCUUUGUUAGUAAACACUUCUCACCUGUGACAGUCACUGAUAAAUCUCAGACAGGAGUUUCUCAUCUAUUAUAAACAGCUUUCAGUUGCUCCCCCGAGGGAGGUAUUUUUUAGAAUUUGGUAUGUCUUAUUGCUCAGAUGGCAGUAUUAGCAGUAUGAUGUUUCUUCAGCGUUUUCCAAGUGUACUUGUCAGGAAUGUUAACGAAAAGAUGGAAGACAACCCUUCCUUCUCUGCUCCUCUACCUGUGAUCAAGAGCAGUCAUAAAAGUGCCAAGGUCUUCAUGUGUUGAAAGUUUCAUCUGUAAAAUCCACAAUAACAACAACCUCUAAUAGAGAAACCUCCAUCCUCUCUCUAUGCAAUUCCUAACCCUCCUUCAUCCCCUAGACUCCUGUUCCUUGCAGUGCCUGGGCUCUUGCCAAGUCACAGUGAAGGCAGCAGGAUUAGACACGGGUUUAAAGUUAGGCCUGAGCUUCAGCACCUGGGAUCCAUACUGUAAUGACAAGAACAGAGUAUUAGAACUAAAUGAUAUGUUUAUACAAGCAAAUGAAAAAAUGCACUGGGUUCCAAAGUCCUCCCAUCAAAUUUGCUCUCCAAAGUUAUGUAAAUCCACACUGAUGUCUACAUUUAAAAAGGCUCAUUGCCAUUUAUGGGUGUACUAAUGCAAUGCAGUAAUUUGCUCCAUGGUUAAGACCCCAGUAAGUUAUGAGAAGACAAUAUGAAUAAUUAUGUGUAUGAGGGGUUUUUUUUAGCUGAAGCCAGGGGUUUAGAAAUGCGAAAUACAUAUUAAUGAGUGCCGUGCCUCUGAAAGGUGCUAGAUUAACCUUCUUUAAGAGCAGAAUCCUCAAUUUAUUCACCAGCAAAGUGCCAUGUUAGCAGCAGCACUCGUAGUGUGUGCUGGGAGUGCUCCCUAUCCCUGCUGGGUCUGUGCUGCGGCAAACCCCUGCUUUGGCACAUGAAACUAGAGCCACAGAAAGGAAAGGAGUUGGUUCUUCAUUGCUCAUGUACCUGAAGGGGUGUGCUGUACCCUGUGUUUGUAGUAAGAUUGUUUGGGGAAUGGGAAGACUGCUUGUCCUCUAGGCCUGUCUGUCCUCUAAACAUUCAGUGCUCAUCUCAAACUGUGAACAUAAAUGCAAUAUGUGACAGAUUUUUUUAGCGAUCAAGAAGAUGUCUACACAGAGGCCAUGGGAGAUAGUAAGAAGGUACAUAAUGCCUGGUUUGUAGCAAGCACUUUUCUGAUGAAAUGGCUUCCAGAUGACCACAGCUGAGGCCACCUACCAAGCAAAACCUGGGAGGUGGAUAAGUGCUGCUCUUUCUCACUAUUCAGCACUGCUGGGUGGAGUUCCUCAGCUUGACAGGAACAUCCAGUGCCUACGAUUACAACAGGACUGUCAGAUUUCUUUAGUAUUGCAUGUGUCAUAGAUUUCUUGAGUUUGUGGAAGAAGAUAUAUUCUCAGGGCUGUUGGUACACCACAGCAUCCUCUGGAGAACUGGGCUUAGUCAUUUGCUAAUGAAAACUGUUACAUUUACAGAUGUCAGUGAACCCAUACAUGCUGAUUUGCAGCACUGAGGUUGUGGCUUGCAAGGUUACCCUUUGACAGAGGGGAAAAAAAAAUCACAAAAUGAAUAUAAAGAAACUAUAUUAAAAAUUAGCUUUUAGAACCUGACGUGGACUUUAAUUGAUGAGUAUAAUUCAAAUUGUAGUCUCACACUUGAUGUCUAUUUUUGACAUUAUUAUCAAUUUCUUCCUAAGAGUAGGUAUUUCAAGGCAAAUACUGCUUUCAUUAUGAGUUUUUCUCCAAAUAUUUAAUUUUUGAAAACUUGUAGAUCAUUUGAAGCAUUUUCCAUUUCUAUUAAUAUUCAUGAAAGUGAGAACUCAUAACAUUACAUCAUUAGAUUGAAUACCAGUAAAAUGAUUUGAGGUAUACAGCAGUGAAAUGUAAAUACUGAACAAGUUUCAGUUAUUCAUUUAAACUGGAAAAAAAAAAAAACAACAAAACAUGAUACUAAAUCAUUAAACGUGAAGGAAAAUAUGCAAAUGCAUCAGCAAAACAGAAUCACAACUGAAUAAAUCAUGGGUGCAAGUUCUGAAGUGUUUUCAAAAGGUAUUUCUGAGAAAUAAAAAUCAGUUUAACCACAAUCAGUUGUAAUUCAUAGUUCUUCCAUUAUAUUUUCAUUGUUGGGGAAUAGCUUAUUAUUCAUGGGUGGAUAGCAGAAAUUAAACAUAGUUACUGCUUGAUAUAUCUACUUCAUUUACAAGACUGAAACUAAAAACUUAAUGACAGAACAAAUUAGGCAACUCCAAACAGGUUAUAAAAAAAGAUGACUACAUAUUGAAGUUCCUUGCUUUUUCAGCACUGAGGCAGUAACAAGCACCUGUGUGGUCAUUGCUUUGGUCAUUCCAACUAUAUAGGCAAAAGAUUAUCUGAUUAUGCCCCAAAAGCAGGAAGGUAAGCCACAUGGGUCUUAUUUCCUGCAAGUCUAAAUUGUGACCAUUGUUCCAUGCCAAAUUCAACACCUAAAUGGGUUUAAGUUUCAGCAUUCAAAAGCCUGUUUCAAUUUUUUAUUUUGUACAUAUGUCUGUUUUUAUCAAUUAUUUAGAUAGAUUUUAUAUGGCUGAAGCAAAUGAUCUGUCUGUCAGAAUCAAGGCUAUUAGGUGGUAUUGGUCAUCUGUCAAAGCUAAUGAGGCUGGCUGGCUCUGGCAUCACUGCUAAGCAGAUGUCUGUAAGCAACAAAUCCCCCAAAUAAUUUUCUUAUGUGUAAAAAGCACCAUGAAGCCACAGAUGUUCAUUUCCUUCCUCCGUUAUGUAACCCUUAUACUUCUUAAUUUCUUGUAAAAAGUAAAGUUGCAUGCCCCUGUUUCAUUAACUAUUUGUGAGCAAAGCAGAUCAACAUCCUAAAUUUAGUUGACAAUAAUAGAAAACCCUCUUAAAAUGUAUUCUCUAUUCAAAUUCCCUGUGCUGUGUUGGUGUGCCUAUGCCUCCUGUUUUUACUGAGAAUCCUGAGUUCUUCACGUUCAUUUCUCAGUUUCCUUAUUGUUACCGUCGCAGUAUCGAGACAGUGCUCCAUUCCUGCUUGAGUGUCACCUUGUUGGUCUAUCUCCAGAAACACUGAAGAAAGAGAGAAGCAGAGCAUGUUGUUUUCUGCGCAUACUUGGCAAUGAAUUCUAUUUGCACAGCAGCUGGAGCUGUAAGUGGUUUGCUUCUUAGGUUAUUGUUUGUAAAAUAACAAAUAUGCAUGAAUAUAUAUAUUUAUAUUAAAAAACAAACAAACCCUUCCAUGCAGAUUUUAUAUAUCUAGUUAAGAUCACAUCACGGUAUUUCACUCGCAGUGAGGCUGUGAUUGACAAGCCUGCGUAAUUAACAGGUAGAAGGAAUAUAUGUUGAGCUACAUGAUGUCCAGGAGCUCAGGCUGUUUGCUAGCACUUUCUCUGCUGUGUUCCGUGUUUUUCUCCUAGGGUUGACAUUCCUCUCUCCUACCUGGACAGGAAGGGACAACAUGAUGAUUUACCAGCAUUUUGAUACUGCCUUGUGUAGUGUCUUGUCUUGGUUUGGUUUUGUAUUACUAUUUCUAAAGUGGAAGUUAUUAUUUUUAAGAGAGGACAUGGUAUUUUUGCAGGAAGAAGGGGACUUAUCUCACCUGAUUGCCCCAAGUUCCUUCUGAGGUUGCUGUAGAGGUGCGUAUUCUUGCUGUAGAAGUGCAUAUUGCAGAGCUUAUCUGCCAGAUGCUGGCAAAAUUCCUACAGAAAUACAGAAACCCUGCAAACACCAGUUGUCUUAAAGGGAACGACACCUCUGCAUCAAGUCAAGGAAAAGCUCACAAUCGUCGUCUCAGCAGCUGGGUGAGAUAACACUAACCCUGGCUUCUGUCAUAAUAAAUUAUAUCACAGCAGAGAGAAACUGCCACAGGCAGUUGGCCCUUACUCUCAUGUAAGUGAAUACAGAUUCUCAAACCUGACUUUCUGCAGUGGUACUCACCAGACCCUACUGUCCUUGCCUUUGAAUCAUCUAGGCUAGCUCAGCCUACACACUGUGCAAUAAAUCUCAUCAAAUGCCACAAUCUCUUGCCAUUUUCCCUUUGUGUAUGAGGAAGAAACAAAGACCGUGGUCAAAACUGAAGGCUUCCCUAUUUCUUUGUGAAUGGCAAUGCUGAGGCGUGGUUAACUUAACCAAUUUCUCCUAUGUAGUUAUGCUGAAGGCCCACUCUUAGUACAGUGAUACCCAAGACUCUGCAAAACACAUCAGUGUUGCUUUUUGAUGCUCUAGACGUGUUUUUGACACCAUCUUUUCUGCAAGGUUCCCAUGGCACACUGUCCAUUCUCUCUAUGGAAUUAGGAAAACAGCUCAUUAGAAACACAGAGCUGCCAAAUAGGAUGAUUUCAUCAGGGCACUCUGCCAACUGAAGUGGCCCAUG